Molecule: transfer RNA, 198 nt
Filed under: Paenibacillus hunanensis
Lineage: Bacteria; Bacillati; Bacillota; Bacilli; Caryophanales; Paenibacillaceae
Description: tRNA-Ser
Rfam family: tRNA
About the family: Transfer RNA (tRNA) molecules are approximately 80 nucleotides in length. Their secondary structure includes four short double-helical elements and three loops (D, anti-codon, and T loops). Further hydrogen bonds mediate the characteristic L-shaped molecular structure. tRNAs have two regions of fundamental functional importance: the anti-codon, which is responsible for specific mRNA codon recognition, and the 3' end, to which the tRNAs corresponding amino acid is attached (by aminoacyl-tRNA synthetases). tRNAs cope with the degeneracy of the genetic code in two manners: having more than one tRNA (with a specific anti-codon) for a particular amino acid; and 'wobble' base-pairing, i.e. permitting non-standard base-pairing at the 3rd anti-codon position.
Source: RNAcentral
GGCAGAAUAGCUCAGUGGUAGAGCGGUACCGUACCUUUUCACCACUUUCCUCGGAUAUGUCCCUUACCAUUAUGAACCUCAAGUGUUACGAGCUUCACUCUAUAUUCUUUGAAAAAUAAUACAUCCAUAUCCGAGGCGCCUGGAAGGGUUACUUCGAAUCUAAUCGACAGGUCGCCGGUUCGAAUCCGGUUUCCGCCG